GCCAGCGUGGCGGAAUUGGCAGACGCGCGAGACUCAAAAUCUCGUAUCCUCCGGGAUGUGCCGGUUCGACUCCGGCCGCUGGCA
This 84-nucleotide transfer RNA is filed under the name Bacilli bacterium. Its description in RNAcentral is "tRNA-Leu". It matches the Rfam family "tRNA". From Rfam's summary of the family: Transfer RNA (tRNA) molecules are approximately 80 nucleotides in length. Their secondary structure includes four short double-helical elements and three loops (D, anti-codon, and T loops). RNAcentral also lists the same sequence under 1 other name. The record is from RNAcentral. Lineage: Bacteria; Bacillati; Bacillota; Bacilli.